AACACUGUUAACCUGCGGUACCUGCGGAAGGAUCAUUACCGAGUUAUACAACUCAUCAACCCUGUGAACAUACCUAUAACGUUGCCUCGGCGGGAACAGACGGCCCCGUAACACGGGCCGCCCCCGCCAGAGGACCCCCUAACUCUGUUUCUAUAAUGUUUCUUCUGAGUAAACAAGCAAAUAAAUUAAAACUUUUAGCAACGGAUCU
This 208-nucleotide unclassified non-coding RNA is filed under the name soil metagenome. RNAcentral's name for it is "partial contains 5.8S ribosomal RNA, internal transcribed spacer 2, and large subunit ribosomal RNA". The record is from RNAcentral.